UCAAGUACGCGCCAGCCGCGGGUGCGGCGCAC
This 32-nucleotide small RNA is filed under the name Bombyx mori (domestic silkworm). RNAcentral's name for it is "ovarian small RNA-24761". The record is from RNAcentral. Lineage: Eukaryota; Metazoa; Arthropoda; Insecta; Lepidoptera; Bombycidae.